UUUUUUUAUUUUUAGGGUUUUCUAUGUUUGCGUUGCUAACUUUCUUCAAAUGAGGCCAAACUUCGUGAUCUAGCUUAACUAUUCCCAAUAUUUGAUCCUGCUAAGUAUCAUAGCUAGUAGGGACGUUUAUCUUUAUCAAACAAUAAUCAAACACCUUAUGGCCACUUCUAAAAGUCAUUGUUUUCCCAUCUUAAGUUGUUCUCCAUGCC
This 209-nucleotide long non-coding RNA is filed under the name Hordeum vulgare. RNAcentral describes it as "long non-coding RNA (HVUL_LNC015544)". The record is from RNAcentral. Lineage: Eukaryota; Viridiplantae; Streptophyta; Magnoliopsida; Poales; Poaceae.